Molecule: long non-coding RNA, 716 nt
Organism: Mandrillus leucophaeus (drill)
Lineage: Eukaryota; Metazoa; Chordata; Mammalia; Primates; Cercopithecidae
Exons: 3
Source: RefSeq, a predicted model, not a curated record
GGGACGGGCGGAGCGAAACACUGCCCGGCGGGCCCAGGCCGACAGUGCCUGUGGCUCUCCGGAACAAUAAACCCCCGGCUCCGGUGAUGUGGGCCAGACCGGACCUAGAGAGGCGGCACCGCGACCCCUCACUCAACCCGCCUGGCGGCCGGGAGCAGUGUGACUCGGCCCGCUACCGUGUUACAGCUGGCGACUGACAAACAGCAGGCGACGUCGGGAGAACUCCCCGAGAUGGCCGAGACAUCAGCCUUCUUGCUCCACGGCCCUGUAGGACCUGCCCGCCGGGAGCCCCGGAGUCCGCGGCAGCGCCGAGGGCCCCUCCCCCAGGUCUCUGGGCUCUGAGGGACCAUGCCUGGCCGGAUGCUGCCGCCUGGCUUCAAUGCCAUCUGCAUGUCCUCAGGGAUGACAAAGGACUCAUUGUACCAGAUGUCAAAUUCUACAAGGAGGUGAGGAGACAGAACCUGAGGAAGCUGACAGUCUUGGUCUGUCACCCAGACUGGAGUGCAAUGGCGCAAUCUUGCCUCACUGCAACCUCUGCCUCCUGGGUUCAAGCAAUUUUCAUGCCUCAGCCUCCCAAGAUGCUGGGAUUACAGGUGUGCAUCACCAUACCCUGCUCCUCUGAGAAAUAAAUGAGUAAAAUGCACCUUCUGUGAGUGAGAUGAUGCAUCUGACUUGCAGGAAUAAACCAAGUGACAUCUGGAGAUCAUUUAUGAAAG